CAUAGGUUAAUGAGGCGAACCGGGGGAACUGAAACAUCUAAGUACCCCGAGGAAAAGAAAUCAACCGAGAUUCCCCCAGUAGCGGCGAGCGAACGGGGAGGAGCCCAGAGCCUGAAUCAGUGUGUGUGUUAGUGGAAGCGUCUGGAAAGGCGCGCGAUACAGGGUGACAGCCCCGUACACAAAAAUGCACAUAUUGUGAGCUCGAUGAGUAGGGCGGGACACGUGGUAUCCUGUCUGAAUAUGGGGGGACCAUCCUCCAAGGCUAAAUACUCCUGACUGACCGAUAGUGAACCAGUACCGUGAGGGAAAGGCGAAAAGAACCCCGGCGAGGGGAGUGAAAAAGAACCUGAAACCGUGUACGUACAAGCAGUGGGAGCCUCUUUAUGGGGUGACUGCGUACCUUUUGUAUAAUGGGUCAGCGACUUAUAUUCUGUAGCAAGGUUAACCGAAUAGGGGAGCCGAAGGGAAACCGAGUCUUAACUGGGCGUUAAGUUGCAGGGUAUAGACCCGAAACCCGGUGAUCUAGCCAUGGGCAGGUUGAAGGUUGGGUAACACUAACUGGAGGACCGAACCGACUAAUGUUGAAAAAUUAGCGGAUGACUUGUGGCUGGGGGUGAAAGGCCAAUCAAACCGGGAGAUAGCUGGUUCUCCCCGAAAGCUAUUUAGGUAGCGCCUCGUGAAUUCAUCUCCGGGGGUAGAGCACUGUUUCGGCAAGGGGGUCAUCCCGACUUACCAACCCGAUGCAAACUGCGAAUACCGGAGAAUGUUAUCACGGGAGACACACGGCGGGUGCUAACGUCCGUCGUGAAGAGGGAAACAACCCAGACCGCCAGCUAAGGUCCCAAAGUCAUGGUUAAGUGGGAAACGAUGUGGGAAGGCCCAGACAGCCAGGAUGUUGGCUUAGAAGCAGCCAUCAUUUAAAGAAAGCGUAAUAGCUCACUGGUCGAGUCGGCCUGCGCGGAAGAUGUAACGGGGCUAAACCAUGCACCGAAGCUGCGGCAGCGACACUAUGUGUUGUUGGGUAGGGGAGCGUUCUGUAAGCCUGUGAAGGUGGCCUGUGAGGGUUGCUGGAGGUAUCAGAAGUGCGAAUGCUGACAUAAGUAACGAUAAAGCGGGUGAAAAGCCCGCUCGCCGGAAGACCAAGGGUUCCUGUCCAACGUUAAUCGGGGCAGGGUGAGUCGACCCCUAAGGCGAGGCCGAAAGGCGUAGUCGAUGGGAAACAGGUUAAUAUUCCUGUACUUGGUGUUACUGCGAAGGGGGGACGGAGAAGGCUAUGUUGGCCGGGCGACGGUUGUCCCGGUUUAAGCGUGUAGGCUGGUUUUCCAGGCAAAUCCGGAAAACCAAGGCUGAGGCGUGAUGACGAGGCACUACGGUGCUGAAGCGACAAAUGCCCUGCUUCCAGGAAAAGCCUCUAAGCAUCAGGUAACAUCAAAUCGUACCCCAAACCGACACAGGUGGUCAGGUAGAGAAUACCAAGGCGCUUGAGAGAACUCGGGUGAAGGAACUAGGCAAAAUGGUGCCGUAACUUCGGGAGAAGGCACGCUGAUAUGUAGGUGAAGCGACUUGCUCGUGGAGCUGAAAUCAGUCGAAGAUACCAGCUGGCUGCAACUGUUUAUUAAAAACACAGCACUGUGCAAACACGAAA
This 1645-nucleotide ribosomal RNA is filed under the name Escherichia coli. RNAcentral's name for it is "partial 23S ribosomal RNA". It matches the Rfam family "Bacterial large subunit ribosomal RNA", at positions 165 to 1836 of the family's 2925-position model. The record is from RNAcentral. Lineage: Bacteria; Pseudomonadati; Pseudomonadota; Gammaproteobacteria; Enterobacterales; Enterobacteriaceae. RNAcentral also lists the same sequence under 1 other name.